GACGAACGCUGGCGGCGUGCUUAACACAUGCAAGUCGAACGGAAAGGCCCUGCUUUUGUGGGGUGCUCGAGUGGCGAACGGGUGAGUAACACGUGAGUAACCUGCCCUUGACUUUGGGAUAACUUCAGGAAACUGGGGCUAAUACCGGAUAGGAGCUCCUGCUGCAUGGUGGGGGUUGGAAAGUUUCGGCGGUUGGGGAUGGACUCGCGGCUUAUCAGCUUGUUGGUGGGGUAGUGGCUUACCAAGGCUUUGACGGGUAGCCGGCCUGAGAGGGUGACCGGCCACAUUGGGACUGAGAUACGGCCCAGACUCCUACGGGAGGCAGCAGUGGGGAAUAUUGCACAAUGGGCGGAACCUGAUGCAGCAACGCCGCGUGCGGGAUGACGGCCUUCGGGUUGUAAACCGCUUUCGCCUGUGACGAAGCGUGAGUGACGGUAAUGGGUAAAGAAGCACCGGCUAACUACGUG
This 467-nucleotide ribosomal RNA is filed under the name uncultured bacterium. RNAcentral's name for it is "partial 16S ribosomal RNA". It matches the Rfam family "Bacterial small subunit ribosomal RNA", at positions 28 to 507 of the family's 1533-position model. The record is from RNAcentral.